UACAGAGGUCUCAAGCGUUGUUCGGAUUCAUUGGGCGUAAAGGGUGCGUAGGUGGCGUCGUAAGUCAGGUGUGAAAUUUCGGAGCUUAACUCCGAAACUGCAUUUGAUACUGCGGUGCUUUGAGGACUGGAGAGGAGACUGGAAUUUACGGUGUAGCAGUGAAAUGCGUAGAGAUCGUAAGGAAGACCAGUGGCGAAGGCGGGUCUCUGGACAGUUCCUGACACUGAGGCACGAAGGCCAGGGGAGCAAACGGG
This 254-nucleotide ribosomal RNA is filed under the name uncultured bacterium. RNAcentral's name for it is "partial 16S ribosomal RNA". It matches the Rfam family "Bacterial small subunit ribosomal RNA", at positions 524 to 776 of the family's 1533-position model. The record is from RNAcentral.